AUUUAACGCUGGCGGCAGGCUUCACACAUGCAAGUCGAGCGAGCGGCGGACGGGUGAGUCAUGUCUGGGACACUGCCUGAUGGAGGGGCAUAACUACUGGAAACGGUAGCUAAUACCGCAUACCAUCAAAUGUGCCCAGAUGGGAUUAGCUAGUAGGUGGUGUAAUGGCUCACCUAGGCGAAGAUCCCUCGCUGGUCUGAGAGGAUGACAAGCCACACUGGAACUGAGACACGGUCCAGACUCCUCCGGGAGGCCGCAGUGGGGAAUAUUGCGCAAUGGGCGCAAGCCUGAUGCAGCCAUGCCGCGUGUGUGAAGAAGGCCUUCGGGUUGUAAAGCACUUUCAGCGAGGAGUCGUUACUCGCAGAAGAAGCACCGGCUAACUCCGUGCCAGCAGCCGCGGUAAUAC
This 406-nucleotide ribosomal RNA is filed under the name uncultured bacterium. RNAcentral describes it as "partial 16S ribosomal RNA". It matches the Rfam family "Bacterial small subunit ribosomal RNA", at positions 32 to 526 of the family's 1533-position model. The record is from RNAcentral.